GAAAUAUAAGAUGAAGAAUUAAAAGGCAGAGGUGCCCGCGACAAGUGCUGCAACAUUUUGUUUUGCUUGCUAAUGUCCAAGAAAGGUAAUGAACUAUCCACGCAUACUAUAUUAUAUUUUUCUUUUCGCAACUCAUACUAUAUAUAUAAUAACGUAAUGAAAUAAGUAAUAGGUAGAAACUGUGGACGAGAAUGACAAAUGGAGAAGACGAUUCUGGCUACAGAUUUCAACGUUUAUGCAGUCUUCGAGAGUUGUGUUUUGUGUUGUGUCCGAGAGAGAGACGACGUAGAUGUCAAAUCCCUGCAUCCGAACCCACGUUCUCCAUCCUUACAUUCCUUUAAGAAACAAAGCUAAUUUAAUUGGACAUAUUUGAUCGUUUAAUUCAUUUAUCUAUUCUAUAGUUUAUGUUUAUGUUUUCUUCCUGUGGAGGAAACUCAGGAAAGGCUUAUUUAAUCAUGUAAACCAGUCAACCACGAUAUAAAUACUUUUUCUAGUCCACACUACUGAAUUUCUUCUUGUAACAUUUUUUUCUCCAGAUUAUUGAAAGCCUCUUAAAGUUGAUAUUCAA
Molecule: long non-coding RNA, 568 nt
Filed under: Brassica rapa (field mustard)
Lineage: Eukaryota; Viridiplantae; Streptophyta; Magnoliopsida; Brassicales; Brassicaceae
Description: long non-coding RNA (BRAP_LNC003186)
Source: RNAcentral